This 373-nucleotide ribosomal RNA is filed under the name uncultured Glomeromycotina. RNAcentral describes it as "LSU rRNA". Lineage: Eukaryota; Fungi; Glomeromycota. The record is from RNAcentral.
UUGAAAGGGAAACGAUUGAAGUCAGUCGUACCUGUGGGUAAUCAGCCUUUUGGGUGUGAUUUUGUGGAGUGUGAGGAGUUAAACGCCUUCAUGCCUGCAUAUUCGUGCACUUUGGGUGUAUUUACCCGUGUGGUAAGUUAACAUCAAUUUCGGUGAUCAUAAAAUGGCUGGAGGAAUGUAGCUUCGAUCUUGUAUUGAAGUGUUAUAGCCUUCGGUAGAUGUGAUGAUCGGGGUUGAGGAUUGCAACGGAUACCCCUCGGGGCUACCUGUCUGAUCUCUGAUCGUUGCUCUGGUGCCGAAAGCUUGCUUACGGUUAUCAAAGUCGAUGGUCAAUAGGUUAGAACGGGUUAAAUUCGUUAAGGAUGUUGACGUA